GAGUUUGAUCGUGGCUCAGGACGAACGCUGGCGGCGCGCCUAACACAUGCAAGUCGAACGGAGUUUGUUGGAUUGAUCCUUCGGGAGAUUGAUAGCAAACUGAGUGGCGGACGGGUGAGUAACACGUGAGCAACCUGCCUUUCAGAGGGGGAUAACGUCUGGAAACGGACGCUAAUACCGCAUAACAUAAGAGGAGGGCAUCCUUCUUUUAUCAAAGGAGCAAUCCGCUGAAAGAUGGGCUCGCGUCCGAUUAGGCAGUUGGCGGGUAACGGCCC
RNAcentral lists this ribosomal RNA (275 nucleotides) under uncultured bacterium. Its description in RNAcentral is "partial 16S ribosomal RNA". It matches the Rfam family "Bacterial small subunit ribosomal RNA", at positions 9 to 266 of the family's 1533-position model. The record is from RNAcentral.